RNAcentral lists this long non-coding RNA (337 nucleotides) under Mytilus galloprovincialis (Mediterranean mussel). Lineage: Eukaryota; Metazoa; Mollusca; Bivalvia; Mytilida; Mytilidae. The record is from RNAcentral.
UAAUGUUAUGUUGUGGUUUUUAUUAAUUGGGUUAUUUAUCAUGCAUUUAGUUUAGAGUUCUUUUUUUAUAACUAAUGAUGAUUUUAAUUGUACAACUUGUAAAGUGUCUUUUUAUUAUUACAAUGGCUGAUACAUGUAAUACUACGGGAUGGUAGAAAUAUGUCUAAUACACAUUUUUAAUCAAACUUCACCAUACGUCCACAUGUCUAUCUUGAUUUUCCCGUCUUUUUCUUUUCAUUUAAAGAUGAAAUUCAUGACACAUAUUUCUAUUUUUCUAUCACUAACCAUGGUUAUGUCAAACUAGCUUUAAUGAACGUUUUAUCCUUUUUCUAAGCAA